UAAAGAUGAAUCUUUUCAGGUUUCCAAAUGAAAUAAAAGCUACAACAAAGAAUAGAAUAAGAAGUCCCCUAGAUUUUCAGUUUGAAUUUUCAUAUGUGUAUUUUCUUAUGGAAGGCCAGAGUUCUGCAAGGUUUAAGGCAUUUUAUUCAAGUUCGUUGUAUUCAUUCAUUAUGCUUUUUGCGAACGGAGAUCAAACACGGAAGGACUUGGACAUGCUCCGAAAAACGAAAAAGAAAUUCAUUUGCAUAAAUGACGACAUAGACUACAAAAAGACACGUGAGGCACAGACAACUGUUAAUUUAUUGCACGAUUUCUACGAGUCAAUGUUUCCAAAACGAUCAUCAUUCGAAAUCGUUGAAUGAAAAGAAGAGAGGAAAAUCAGUUGCUUAUGGAUUUGUUAACAUACAUUAUGGUUAAUGGUUAAACUUAUAAAAUGUCAAUGGCAAAUUUAUUCUAUUGUCAAAUAUUGUUGUUGUUGUAAAGAUUUUAAGAACAUGUGUUUUGUCAAGAAAACAAAUGAGCCGCAACAUGACGAAAUCAACGUAAUAGGUUUGCGACCAGCAUGGAUCUGUUCGCUUACAGACCCUAUAAAAAGUAGAGAAACUGAUAGCGAACAGCAUGGGUCCUGAUCAGACUGCGCGGAUGUGCAGGCUGGUCUGGAUCCAUGCUGGUCGCAAACGCACUAUGUUGGUUUUGUCGUGACACGGCUAAAAUGAUUUUCAAAAUUAGAGAAGAUCAAGGUUAAACGAUACCGACAGACAUAUUGUAUCCAUGUGGUGUUCAACGAGAGAAAAUGUAAAAGGACUCAGUCAAGCUAUAUUUAAGUUAUUUUUUUUGGCAAUGUUUUUCUUUUCUUUUCCUUUUUUCAGGUCUUGACGAGUGCAGUAAAUUACCAUUUACUUCAGUUGUAAAAGGGAUUUCACUGAGGUUAUACAUAAAGGGACUGGAGAUAUUGUUUUCGAUAUUUGUGUAACAUUAAUUUUGAUGUAGAUCUGGACCAAUAUUUUUUUAGCGAAAUUUCAGAUAAUUCUCUUAACACUAAAGCAUUGCAAUGCUUUUCACUCAAACUAACUAAAUAUUGUGGAAAAAUCUAUUUUCAGAUUAAUGUCUUUUGCCGUUUUGUCCGUUUUUAAGUACAUCUAAAGAUCUGUGUAAAAAUGAUUUUUUUGUGUUAGACUUUUGGAUCUCAGUGGAGUUUCUUUAAGAAUCACGUGUUGUAUAUUUUUUGGAUUUAAUAGGUAUCUUAUGAUUCGCAAUUACUUAUUUGUACUUAUUGCUUUGCCAGCUGUUGCCAGUCGUAUUGAAAUUGUUUUAAUCGAACGGGUUGACAGAACUACAAUGAAAUUCUUAAUAUUCCAAUCAAUCAAUGAGUGUGAAUUGCAUGCAACAGACCGCGGUAUAAUUAGAGGUUCAUUACUUAUGUGUGCCCAUCGUAUAAAAUAUGUUAUGUCAUAUUAUACAAUUUUGAAGAGUGAGCCAUUGAUAUUAUACCACAAUAUUAUAUUACAUUAUAUAUAAUACAAAUUUGUACAUGUCUAAUUAUAAUGUUGUACUUUUUGUGAUUUUGCCUAUUCAUAUUAUUUAAGAAAUAAUAUAUCCCAAACUGUGAUUUUAUUGCUCAAUAACAUCACUGUUUGGAGUUCGGAUGCGGGGAAUUAUAUCACGAGGGCGUAGCCCGAGUGAUAUAAUGAUGCGCAUCUGAACGACAAACAGUGAUGUUAUCAUGCAAUAAAAUCACCGAUUUGGAUAUAUCAUUUCGAUUCUAACACGACAUCAACAAAUAAAUGCUGCCGUACAUUAUAAUUAGCUUAAUUGCGCCUGAUUUGUUUCCGUACUUAUUGUCAGCGCGUCACAUUUUUAUUGGUAACGUCACGUGUAUAAUGAUUACGUCACAUGUCUAAAUAUAGAACGUCAAACAGUGAUUUUAUAGCAUAAUUACACACACUUUCGGUUCUUCUAUGUUCAAUAGGGAAAAUGCGGGUCGUGUUAGAAUAAACAAUUACUGACUAGUGAGCCAUUUAAUAUGAUGUGAUAUUCACUGGCAGAAAGUCAUAUGAUUUUAUAAAAAAUUAAUGUUACUGUUUGGACAAAUGAGAUUGCAGCUAU
This is a long non-coding RNA of Ruditapes philippinarum (Manila clam), 2106 nucleotides long. RefSeq lists it as uncharacterized. The record is from RefSeq and is a predicted model, not a curated record. NCBI's taxonomy places the organism in Eukaryota, Metazoa, Mollusca, Bivalvia, Venerida, Veneridae. The transcript has 3 exons.